AUUGCAGUUCGAAGCCUACACAAGGAUUUGUCAAAAAUCAUCUUUUGCUUCGGGGAAAGUCUCCGGUCCACUAUGGCAACACUUCCGGUGACUCACCGGGAUGGGUGACAACAAGUCAUCUCUGGCGCUGUGUUUCAUGGCCCAUGUCGUGGUUUGCCACCCCUCAGAAUGCACAGGACUUGUCAUUAGUCUUUCAUCCAGCCAGCCGCAAGGCUCAUCUGGACUGUGUGGAGAGAGGUUGGUAUAGGCUACGUCAUUGGGCCAUGAUAGCUCGCCGUCCUCUUCACGAGGAGCUUCUAUUCGACGCUGGGAAUCUCUCCUAAACGAUAGUCAUGCAAUUGCUACCCCAGUAGUAACCCAAUGGAGCUUAUUCUCGACUUGUGAUCUCUUUUUUCCUUUCCGCGCCUGGAGUUGGAUCUUGUGGUCCAGACUCGCUGCACCGUCGCACGUGCCGGGCGCUUUCAGCAGAUUUUUAUCAUGAUGAAAUAUCAAACAAUCAUAGAGUCAAGCUCAGAGGAACUUCACACGCCUGGAAAGAUGGUGUGGUUGAUUUCAGCGACGAGAAUUGUAUAAUGUUCUGAACAAAAAUCUGCGGAAGCCCUGAAAUGAGAACCAAGCGGCGAAAGCCACGAGCUCUCGAUCUUCAUAUCUAUAUACUUACAUUAUACUGAACUAGUUAUUUAUUGACUUAAUUAAUUACCAGUGAGGAUU
RNAcentral lists this unclassified non-coding RNA (711 nucleotides) under Yarrowia lipolytica. The stretch from base 1 to 383 matches the Rfam family "RNase MRP". From Rfam's summary of the family: RNase MRP is an enzymatically active ribonucleoprotein with two distinct roles in eukaryotes. Lineage: Eukaryota; Fungi; Ascomycota; Dipodascomycetes; Dipodascales. The record is from RNAcentral.